RNAcentral lists this long non-coding RNA (321 nucleotides) under Homo sapiens (human). RNAcentral's name for it is "HSALNT0385592". The record is from RNAcentral. Lineage: Eukaryota; Metazoa; Chordata; Mammalia; Primates; Hominidae.
CUGCAGUGCCAUGGAGAGGCUGCCAUCCUCUGAGGGCCUAGGCCCUGGGCUGACCUUUGGGAAGCUAGGCAAAAUGGUGGUGGAGCUGCUGCCCCCUGACCUGAGUCCACACCUCACCUUCUGCCAUCUCCAAAACAAGACACUGGUGUGUCCAUCUCUCAUUAGCUUAUUGUGAUCCCGCGUUAAGCAAGGGACAUGCAUUCCAAGACCCCCAGUGGAUGCCUGAAACCUCAUAUAAUAUUGAGCCCUUUUGUCUGAAUCUCAUUAUUGGACCACAGGAACAUGCAGCCAGUUCUAGUUCCAUGAGGGAACAAUAGGAAA